This 253-nucleotide unclassified non-coding RNA is filed under the name uncultured Gammaproteobacteria bacterium. Its description in RNAcentral is "contains 16S-23S intergenic spacer region". It matches the Rfam family "Bacterial small subunit ribosomal RNA", at positions 524 to 776 of the family's 1533-position model. Lineage: Bacteria; Pseudomonadati; Pseudomonadota; Gammaproteobacteria. The record is from RNAcentral.
UACGGAGGGUGCAAGCGUUAAUCGGAAUUACUGGGCGUAAAGCGUGCGUAGGCGGCUUGUUAAGUCGGAUGUGAAAGCCCUGGGCUCAACCUGGGAAUGGCAUCUGAGACUGGCCGGCUAGAGUGCAGUAGAGGGGUGUGGAAUUCCCGGUGUAGCGGUGAAAUGCGUAGAUAUCGGGAGGAACAUCAGUGGCGAAGGCGGCACCCGGGACUGACACUGACGCUGAGGUGCGAAAGCGUGGGGAGCAAACAGG